CUUACUUUGAUGUACUGCAGUGUAUUGAUAUUGCGGGUUUUUGUGUCUUCGCACCAGACUGUGAGCUCCUGGAGGGCAGGGACU
Molecule: microRNA precursor, 84 nt
Filed under: Myotis lucifugus (little brown bat)
Lineage: Eukaryota; Metazoa; Chordata; Mammalia; Chiroptera; Vespertilionidae
Description: miRNA (ENSMLUG00000021150.1)
Source: RNAcentral